CCUACGGGGGGCUGCAGUAAGGAAUAUUGGUCAAUGGACGAAAGUCUGAACCAGCCAUGCCGCGUGGAGGAUGAAGGUCCUCUGGAUUGUAAACUUCUUUUAUAUGGGACGAAAAAGGGCCUUUCCAGGUCGUCUGACGGUACCAUAUGAAUAAGCACCGGCUAACUCCGUGCCAGCAGCCGCGGUAAUACGGAGGGUGCAAGCGUUAUCCGGAUUCACUGGUGCGAAGGUGGGUGGGGAAGGGUUGGGAGAAAUCCCCGAGCUUAACUUGGGAACUGCCAUGGAUACUAUCAGUCUUGAAUACCGUGGAGGUCAGCGGAAUAUGUCAUGUAGCGGUGAAAUGCUUAGAUAUGACAUAGAACACCAAUUGCGAAGGCAGCUGGCUACACGAGUAUUGACACUGAGGCACGAAAGCGUGGGGAUCAAACAGGAUUAGAUACCCCAGUAGUC
RNAcentral lists this ribosomal RNA (450 nucleotides) under uncultured bacterium. RNAcentral describes it as "partial 16S ribosomal RNA". It matches the Rfam family "Bacterial small subunit ribosomal RNA", at positions 338 to 795 of the family's 1533-position model. The record is from RNAcentral.